This 837-nucleotide ribosomal RNA is filed under the name uncultured bacterium. RNAcentral's name for it is "bacterial SSU rRNA". It matches the Rfam family "Bacterial small subunit ribosomal RNA", at positions 8 to 850 of the family's 1533-position model. The record is from RNAcentral.
AGAGUUUGAUCCUGGCUCAGGACGAACGCUGGCGGCGUGCCUAACACAUGCAAGUCGAGCGGAGAUGUACUGAAGAUUUAUCGGAUGUACAUCUUAGCGGCGGACGGGUGAGUAACGCGUGGGCAACCUGCCUUCCACUGGGGGAUAACACAGGGAAACCUGUGCUAAUACCGCAUGACAUCACAUAGGGCAUCCUGUGUGAUCAAAGGAGUGAUCCGGUGGAAGAUGGGCCCGCGUCCGAUUAGCUAGUUGGUGAGGUAACGGCUCACCAAGGCGACGAUCGGUAGCCGGACUGAGAGGUUGGCCGGCCACAUUGGGACUGAGACACGGCCCAGACUCCUACAGGAGGCAGCAGUGGGGAAUAUUGCGCAAUGGGGGGAACCCUGACGCAGCGACGCCGCGUGAAGGAAGAAGGCCUUCGGGUUGUAAACUUCUUUGAUGAGGGACGAAGGAAGUGACGGUACCUCAAAAACAAGCCACGGCUAACUACGUGCCAGCAGCCGCGGUAAUACGUAGGUGGCGAGCGUUGUCCGGAAUUACUGGGUGUAAAGGGCGUGUAGGCGGGGAUGCAAGUCAGAUGUGAAAUACCGCGGCUUAACCGCGGGGCUGCAUCUGAAACUGUGUCUCUUGAGUGUCGGAGAGGAAAGCGGAAUUCCCAGUGUAACGGUGAAAUGCGUAGAGAUUGGGAGGAACACCGGUGGCGAAGGCGGCUUUCUGGACGACAACUGACGCUGAGGCGCGAAAGCGUGGGGAGCAAACAGGAUUAGAUACCCUGGUAGUCCACGCCGUAAACGAUGGAUACUACGUGUAGGAGGUAUCGACCCCUUCUGUGCCGGA